GAUGAACGCUAGCUACAGGCUUAACACAUGCAAGUCGAGGGGCAGCAUUUUAGUUUGCUUGCAAACUAAAGAUGGCGACCGGCGCACGGGUGAGUAACACGUAUCCAACCUGCCGAUAACUCGGGGAUAGCCUUUCGAAAGAAAGAUUAAUAUCCGAUAGUAUAUUAAAACCGCAUGGUUUACUAUUAAAGAAUUUCGGUUAUCGAUGGGGAUGCGUUCCAUUAGUUUGUUGGCGGGGUAACGGCCCACCAAGGCGACGAUCAGUAGCCGGACUGAGAGGUUGAACGGCCACAUUGGGACUGAGACACGGCCCAG
This 315-nucleotide ribosomal RNA is filed under the name uncultured bacterium. Its description in RNAcentral is "bacterial SSU rRNA". It matches the Rfam family "Bacterial small subunit ribosomal RNA", at positions 28 to 334 of the family's 1533-position model. The record is from RNAcentral.